RNAcentral lists this non-coding RNA (115 nucleotides) under Schnuerera ultunensis. RNAcentral's name for it is "Clostridium ultunense Glycine sequence". It matches the Rfam family "Glycine riboswitch aptamer". From Rfam's summary of the family: This family represents the bacterial glycine riboswitch. Glycine riboswitches usually consist of two metabolite-binding aptamers domains with similar structures in tandem. The aptamers cooperatively bind glycine to regulate the expression of downstream genes. Lineage: Bacteria; Bacillati; Bacillota; Tissierellia; Tissierellales; Tepidimicrobiaceae. RNAcentral also lists the same sequence under 1 other name. The record is from RNAcentral.
AUGAUAAGUGCGGGAGAGACCAAAUAUAAUUUAUGUAAUUUGGCGCCGAAGGAAUAAGUCAUAAAGUUUGCCAUUUUAUGAUGAUGAUCUCAGGCAAAAGAACCGUACUUUGACG